GGGAGGAAUAUUGCGCAAUGGGCGAAAGCCAGACGCAGCAACGCCGCGUGAGCGAAGAAGGCCUUCGGGUCGUAAAGCUCUUUUCCGAGGGAUGAGAGCGGACAGUACCUCGGGAAUAAGUCUCGGCUAACUACGUGCCAGCAGCCGCGGUAAAACGUAGGAGGCGAGCGUUAUCCGGAUUCACUGGGCGUAAAGGGCAAGUAGGCGGUGGUCCAAGUUGGGCGUGACAGGUCCCGGCUUAACUGGGAAGGGUCGUCCAAGACUGGGCUGCUAGGGGGCAGGAGAGGAGAGCGGAAUUCCUAGUGUAGCGGUGGAAUGCUCAGAGAUUAGGAGGAACACCAGUGGCGAAAGCGGCUCUCUGGUCUGUACCCGACGCUGAGGGGCGAAAGCUAGGGGAGCGAACGGGCUUAGAAACCCCUGUAGUCC
This 426-nucleotide ribosomal RNA is filed under the name uncultured bacterium. Its description in RNAcentral is "bacterial SSU rRNA". It matches the Rfam family "Bacterial small subunit ribosomal RNA", at positions 354 to 796 of the family's 1533-position model. The record is from RNAcentral.